GACGAACGCUGGCGGCGUGCUUAACACAUGCAAGUCACGGGGGUCCCGCAAGGGAUAACCGGCGAACGGGUGCGUAACACGUGAACAACCUGCCCUCGUGUGGGGGAUAGCCAUGCUAACGCGUGGGUAAUACCGCAUACGUUCUCUUUGGGGGAGUCCCGAGGAGAGGAAAGCUCCGGCGCACGGGGGAGGGGUUCGCGGCCUAUCAGCUAGUUGGCGGGGUAAUGGCCCACCAAGGCGACGACGGGUAGCCGGCCUGAGAGGGCACCGGCCACACUGGGACUGAGACACGGCCCAGACUCCUACGGGAGGCAGCAGUGGGGAAUAUUGCACAAUGGGCGAAAAGCCUGAUGCAGCG
This 358-nucleotide ribosomal RNA is filed under the name uncultured bacterium. RNAcentral describes it as "bacterial SSU rRNA". It matches the Rfam family "Bacterial small subunit ribosomal RNA", at positions 28 to 393 of the family's 1533-position model. The record is from RNAcentral.